UAGAAGAACCUUGUCUGAUCUUUGUACUAGAUGCCAUCCCCAGUUCUCUGACUCCGAAAGAACUCUCACUGAUUAGGAUUCAGUAUGGAGUUCAUCCGGAGUACGAGCUGGAGCUCUCCGGGCCAACUGGCCGGGCUAGCGCUCCUCCCCCUAGCUGCUUCUGUUUAUAUCAAGAAGCUUUCCACGUCGGGCUUUAACUUUCGCUCCCAUCUUUUGUCAUCGCUCUCUUCCACUUUUUAAAUAUUUUUUUAGUUUCUGUAGUGCUGAACUCCUUUAGAUUUUUGAUAGGAUUUCUUUCCCUCUGUUGCC
Molecule: long non-coding RNA, 309 nt
Filed under: Elaeis guineensis (African oil palm)
Lineage: Eukaryota; Viridiplantae; Streptophyta; Magnoliopsida; Arecales; Arecaceae
Description: long non-coding RNA (EGUI_LNC055009)
Source: RNAcentral